GCGCGGCGGGCGGCCGAGCUCGGCGCCAGGGCCGCGGUGGUGGAGAGUCACAAGCUGGGCGGCACUUGCGUGAACGUUGGAUGUGUACCCAAAAAGGUAAUGUGGAACACAGCCGUGCACUCGGAAUUCAUACAUGAUCACGUGGAUUACGGCUUUCAAAACUGCAAGAGUAAAUUCAAUUGGCAUGUCAUCAAGGAGAAGCGGGAUGCUUACGUGAGCCGCCUGAACAACAUCUACCAAAACAAUUUAACCAAGUCCCACAUCGAAGUCAUCCACGGCUACGCAACAUUUGCAG
RNAcentral lists this long non-coding RNA (295 nucleotides) under Rattus norvegicus (Norway rat). Its description in RNAcentral is "long non-coding RNA NONRATT012045". Lineage: Eukaryota; Metazoa; Chordata; Mammalia; Rodentia; Muridae. The record is from RNAcentral.